This is a non-coding RNA of Drosophila melanogaster (fruit fly), 22 nucleotides long. The record is from Ensembl. NCBI's taxonomy places the organism in Eukaryota, Metazoa, Arthropoda, Insecta, Diptera, Drosophilidae.
UAAAGCUUUUAUACCAAAGCUC